Molecule: ribosomal RNA, 484 nt
Filed under: Escherichia coli
Lineage: Bacteria; Pseudomonadati; Pseudomonadota; Gammaproteobacteria; Enterobacterales; Enterobacteriaceae
Description: bacterial SSU rRNA
Rfam family: Bacterial small subunit ribosomal RNA
Source: RNAcentral
GUGAGACAGGUGCUGCAUGGCUGUCGUCAGCUCGUGUUGUGAAAUGUUGGGUUAAGUCCCGCAACGAGCGCAACCCUUAUCCUUUGUUGCCAGCGGUCCGGCCGGGAACUCAAAGGAGACUGCCAGUGAUAAACUGGAGGAAGGUGGGGAUGACGUCAAGUCAUCAUGGCCCUUACGACCAGGGCUACACACGUGCUACAAUGGCGCAUACAAAGAGAAGCGACCUCGCGAGAGCAAGCGGACCUCAUAAAGUGCGUCGUAGUCCGGAUUGGAGUCUGCAACUCGACUCCAUGAAGUCGGAAUCGCUAGUAAUCGUGGAUCAGAAUGCCACGGUGAAUACGUUCCCGGGCCUUGUACACACCGCCCGUCACACCAUGGGAGUGGGUUGCAAAAGAAGUAGGUAGCUUAACCUUCGGGAGGGCGCUUACCACUUUGUGAUUCAUGACUGGGGUGAAGUCGUAACAAGGUAACCGUAGGGGAACCU